AUUGAACGCUGGCGGCAUGCCUAACACAUGCAAGUCGCGCGGGCGGUAGCAAUACCGUUAGCGGCGGACGGGUGAGGAACACAUAGGAAUUUGCCUUUAGGUGGGGGAUAGCCCAGGGAAACUUGGAGUAAUACCGCAUGAUGUCGCAAGACCAAAGCAGGGGAUCGCAAGACCUUGCGCCUUUAGAGGAGCCUAUGUCUGAUUAGCUAGUUGGUAGGGUAAUGGCCUACCAAGGCGACGAUCAGUAACUGGUCUGAGAGGACGAUCAGUCACACUGGAACUGAGACACGGUCCAGACUCCUACGGGAGGCAGCAGUGGGGAAUAUUGGACAAUGGGCGCAAGCCUGAUCCAGCAAUGCCGCGUGUGUGAAGAAGGCCUUCGGGUUGUAAAGCACUUUAGGCCGGGAAGAAAAAAUCAGGGCUAAUAUCCUUGAUCUUGACGGUACCGGAAGAAUAAGCACCGGCUAACUCUGUGCCAGCAGCCGCGGUAAUACAGAGGGUGCGAGCGUUAAUCGGAUUUACUGGGCGUAAAGCGUGUGUAGGUGGUUGUUCAAGUCGGUUGUGAAAUCCCUGGGCUUAACCUGGGAACUGCUUCCGAGACUGAGCGACUAGAGUACGGUAGAGGGCGGUGGAAUUUCCGGUGUAGCCGGUGAAAUGCGUAGAUAUCGGAAGGAACACCAAUGGCGAAGGCAG
RNAcentral lists this ribosomal RNA (693 nucleotides) under uncultured Pseudomonadota bacterium. Its description in RNAcentral is "bacterial SSU rRNA". It matches the Rfam family "Bacterial small subunit ribosomal RNA", at positions 28 to 724 of the family's 1533-position model. Lineage: Bacteria; Pseudomonadati; Pseudomonadota. The record is from RNAcentral.